AACGAACGUUGGCGGCGCGCCUAACACAUGCAAGUCGCACGAGAAAGGGAGCAAUCCCCGGUACAGUGGCGCACGGGUGAGUAACACGUGGAUAAUCUUCCCUCGGGCGGGGGAUAACCUUCCGAAAGGAGGGCUAAUACCGCAUAAGACCACGGCCAGUACGCUGGCUGAGGUCAAAGCAGGCCUCUUCAUGAAAGCUUGCACCUGAGGAUGAGUCCGCGGCCCAUCAGCUAGUUGGUAGUGUUAAAGACUACCAAGGCUAAGACGGGUAGCUGGUCUGAGAGGAUGAUCAGCCACACUGGAACUGAGACACGGGUCCAGACUCCUACGGGAGGCAGCAGUGGGGGAAUCUUGCGCAAUGGACGAAAGUCUGACGCAGCGACGCCGCGUGGGUGA
Molecule: ribosomal RNA, 396 nt
Filed under: uncultured bacterium
Lineage: Bacteria
Description: bacterial SSU rRNA
Rfam family: Bacterial small subunit ribosomal RNA
Source: RNAcentral